GGGAGUGUAGCUCAAUUGGAUAGAGUACCGAUCUUCUAAAUCGGCUUGUGUAGGUUCGAGUCCUAUCGCUCCUG
Molecule: transfer RNA, 74 nt
Filed under: Lusitaniella coriacea LEGE 07157
Lineage: Bacteria; Bacillati; Cyanobacteriota; Cyanophyceae; Spirulinales; Lusitaniellaceae
Description: Leptolyngbya mycoidea LEGE 07157 tRNA
Rfam family: tRNA
About the family: Transfer RNA (tRNA) molecules are approximately 80 nucleotides in length. Their secondary structure includes four short double-helical elements and three loops (D, anti-codon, and T loops). Further hydrogen bonds mediate the characteristic L-shaped molecular structure. tRNAs have two regions of fundamental functional importance: the anti-codon, which is responsible for specific mRNA codon recognition, and the 3' end, to which the tRNAs corresponding amino acid is attached (by aminoacyl-tRNA synthetases). tRNAs cope with the degeneracy of the genetic code in two manners: having more than one tRNA (with a specific anti-codon) for a particular amino acid; and 'wobble' base-pairing, i.e. permitting non-standard base-pairing at the 3rd anti-codon position.
Source: Rfam by way of RNAcentral